This 460-nucleotide ribosomal RNA is filed under the name uncultured bacterium. Its description in RNAcentral is "partial 16S ribosomal RNA". It matches the Rfam family "Bacterial small subunit ribosomal RNA", at positions 338 to 795 of the family's 1533-position model. The record is from RNAcentral.
CCUACGGGAUGCAGCAGUGAGGAAUAUUGGUCAAUGGACGAGAGUCUGAACCAGCCAAGUAGCGUGAAGGAUGACUGCCCUAUGGGUUGUAAACUUCUUUUAUAUGGGAAUAAAAUGCGCCACGUGUGGGAUUUUGUAUGUACCCUAUGAAUAAGGAUCGGCUAACUCCGUGCCAGCAGCCGCGGUAAUACGGAGGAUCCGAGCGUUAUCCGGAUUUAUUGGGUUUAAAGGGGGCGUAGGUGGAUUGUUAAGUCAGUUGUGAAAGUUUGCGGCUCAACCGUAAAAUUGCAGUUGAAACUGGCAGUCUUGAGUACAGUAGAGGUAGGCGGAAUUCGUGGUGUAGCGGUGAAAUGCUUAGAUAUCGCGAAGAACUCCGAUUGCGAAGGCAGUUCACUGGACUGCAACUGACACUGAGGCUCGAAAGUGUGGGUAUCAAACAGGAUUAGAUACCCUAGUAGUC